RNAcentral lists this transfer RNA (70 nucleotides) under Mesocricetus auratus (golden hamster). It matches the Rfam family "tRNA". From Rfam's summary of the family: Transfer RNA (tRNA) molecules are approximately 80 nucleotides in length. Lineage: Eukaryota; Metazoa; Chordata; Mammalia; Rodentia; Cricetidae. The record is from Rfam by way of RNAcentral.
GGGAAUGUGGCUCAGGUGGUAGAGCGCUUGCCUAGCACACAGGAAGCUCUAGGUUCAAUUCCCAGUACCG